This 376-nucleotide ribosomal RNA is filed under the name uncultured bacterium. RNAcentral describes it as "bacterial SSU rRNA". It matches the Rfam family "Bacterial small subunit ribosomal RNA", at positions 524 to 898 of the family's 1533-position model. The record is from RNAcentral.
GACGGAGGAGGCAAGCGUUAUCCGGAAUUAUUGGGCGUAAAGCGUCCGCAGGCGGUUAAUUAAGUCUGUUGUUAAAGCCCACAGCUCAACUGUGGAUGGGCAAUGGAAACUGGUCAACUUGAGUGCGGUAGGGGUAGAGGGAAUUCCCGGUGUAGCGGUGAAAUGCGUAGAUAUCGGGAAGAACACCAGUGGCGAAGGCGCUCUACUGGGCCGCAACUGACGCUGAGGGACGAAAGCUAGGGGAGCGAAAGGGAUUAGAUACCCCUGUAGUCCUAGCUGUAAACGAUGGACACUAGGUGUUGCGCGUAUCGACCCGUGCAGUAUCGUAGCUAACGCGUUAAGUGUCCCGCCUGGGGAGUACGCACGCAAGUGUGAA